UACGUAGGGUGCGAGCGUUAAUCGGAAUUACUGGGCGUAAAGCGUGCGCAGGCGGUUUUAUAAGACAGGUGUGAAAUCCCCGGGCUCAACCUGGGAAUGGCAUUUGUGACUGUAAGACUAGAGUACGGUAGAGGGGGAUGGAAUUCCGCGUGUAGCAGUGAAAUGCGUAGAUAUGUGGAGGAACAUCGAUGGCGAAGGCAGCCUCCUGGGAUAACACUGACGCUCAUGCACGAAAGCGUGGGGAGCAAACAGG
This 253-nucleotide ribosomal RNA is filed under the name uncultured bacterium. Its description in RNAcentral is "partial 16S ribosomal RNA". It matches the Rfam family "Bacterial small subunit ribosomal RNA", at positions 524 to 776 of the family's 1533-position model. The record is from RNAcentral.